GAUGAACGCUGGCGGCGUGCCUAAUACAUGCAAGUCGAGCGAACGGACGAGAAGCUUGCUUUUCUGAUGUUAGCGGCGGACGGGUGAGUAACACGUGGAUAACCUACCUAUAAGACUGGGAUAACUUCGGGAAACCGGAGCUAAUACCGGAUAAUAUUUUGAACCGCAUGGUUCAAAAGUGAAAGACGGUCUUGCUGUCACUUAUAGAUGGAUCCGCGCUGCAUUAGCUAGUUGGUAAGGUAACGGCUUACCAAGGCAACGAUGCAUAGCCGACCUGAGAGGGUGAUCGGCCACACUGGACCUGAGACACGGUCCAGACUCCUACGGGAGGCAGCAGUAGGGAAUCUUCCGCAAUGGGCGAAAGCCUGACGGAGCAACGCCGCGUGAGUGAUGCAGGUCUUCGGAUCGUAAAACUCUGUUAUUAGGGAAGAACAUAUUUGUAAGUAACUGUGCACAUCUUGACGGUACCUAAUCAGAAAGCCACGGCUAACUACGUG
RNAcentral lists this ribosomal RNA (497 nucleotides) under uncultured bacterium. RNAcentral describes it as "partial 16S ribosomal RNA". It matches the Rfam family "Bacterial small subunit ribosomal RNA", at positions 28 to 507 of the family's 1533-position model. The record is from RNAcentral.